Molecule: long non-coding RNA, 1436 nt
Organism: Papaver somniferum (opium poppy)
Lineage: Eukaryota; Viridiplantae; Streptophyta; Magnoliopsida; Ranunculales; Papaveraceae
Exons: 5
Source: RefSeq, a predicted model, not a curated record
AAAAUAAAGUCCCUCGUAUUCUCCUUCUUCAUGUUCAUCAAAAUAAAACUUCUUUCUUAACUUUCCCCAUUCGGUUCUUAUGAUUUUCUUUUUCUUAGAUUCAGGCGUUAACCUCAAUCAAUUUCAUCACAAAAACACUUCAAAUUUGUAGAUAAACUGGAAUUGAAUCUAAAUAUAAAUCACAGAGAGAGAACGAGAGUGGAAUUUUUUUUUCUCUUUUCAACAGUAAGGUCUCUCUGUACAUCUCAAUCUUCUACUUGUAACAGAGAGAUACACAGAUUUAGUUUGAAAUGGGGAAAGUGGUGGUGGGUUGAUGCAUGGCAAAGACGAUUGUAGAGUAGAUUCAAUCAUCAAAAGAAGAAGAGAUUCAUCAUCAACAGGUGAAUAAACCUAGAGAGCAGGUUGAAGGACUUGUGAAAUCUAUAGGAGGAACAAUGUGAGAAUUGGGUCUAGCAUUCAUAAGAGUGAUUGAUGAUGCGAAGAUGAUUGCUGUCAGAGAAUAUGAAAGAAUCAAGUUAUUGCAGACCCUUGCAGCAAAGGAAAUCUAUUGCUGUUGACGAGGUCGGAUGUAGCUUCAAGGCUGUCAGAUGAUGCACAAGGAACAAACAUCUAUUCCGGUUGGAAAACUUGCGAAAGGAGGUAGAAAUUUAUGAAGAACGUUUAAAGAAAUAAAAUCAAUUGAUUACGAAUCACUAGGUAGGUUUUAAUCCUCAUGUGGUUGAAAGGAUACAAAGAUUCUAGAGAAGAAAUAAGAAAAGAUUCAUGAUUUUGAGCUACAGGUGAGCAAUGUAUAUAACAGGGUAAUGAGUAAUGGUAAUAUUAAAUGUGGAUUUUGUUUUUCGGGUUAUUUAUAUGUUAAAUCUUUUCUUUGCGGGUAGUAUUAAUUGUUGAUUUAUAUAAUCAGGUAAUGAGCAACGUGCUGGUAGUAAUAUUAAAUGUGGAUUUUUUUUUUAAAGAGUUAAGAUAUUCUUUGCUGGUGUAGGCUGAAGGAUUUCUGAAAAAUCAGCAAGAUAUGGAAUAUGAAAGAAUUAAGGGACAGCCCCACCAACCUCUCUAUUCCAAGAAGUUCAAUACUGAAAAGUCUAUUUAUAUGCCUGCUUUUCUCUUCUUGGUGCUAGUUGUCGUAUUCAAGUGACUUACAUAAGUGGAUCUUAAGUUUUUGAAAGUCCGACAUCCUUUACUGGACGAUAUAGAUGUUACGAUCAAUCCUUCAAAAGGUUUGUCUCUUAUUGAAGGUAUAUCAUCUGAUGAACAAAGGAGCUCGGGCACCUAGAAGUUACAUAUGUUUUGAUUUUUUUUUCCUUCUUCUUUGUUGUUUGGAACAUGAAACAACUUCAAUUGUUGAGUUUGAGUUGUUUGGUUUCUUAGGUUGUAAUUUUUCUUUUGAACAAUUGUUUGUAAUUUAAUUUAAGUUAAUUUUUAUAAAAUCUUUUGAA